UGGCGCAUUGGAUUUCCUGAAAGAACUUAAGAAUAUUCCCAUGACCCUGGAAUUGCUACAGUCCACAGGAACUGGAAUGUCUGUCAAUGCUAUUCGUAAGCAGAGUACCGAUGAAGAAGUCACAUCUCUAGCCAAAUCUCUCAUCAAAUCCUGGAAAAAAUUAUUAGAUGGACCAUCAACUGAUAAAGAUCCUGAAGAAAAGAAAAAAGAACCUGCAAUUUCAUCACAGAAUAGCCCUGAAGCAAGAGAAGAAAGUAGUUCCAGUAGCAGUGUAAGCAGCAGAAAGGAUGAGACAAACACUCGAGAUACUCAUGUUUCAUCUUUUCCUCAGGCACCAAGCACUUCUGAUUCUGUGCGAUUAAAGUGUAGGGAGAUGCUUGCUGUAGCUCUCUGGACAGGAGAUGAUUAUGUUGCUAUUGGAGCUGAUGAAGAAGAACUGGGAUCUCAGAUUGAAGAAGCUAUAUAUCAAGAAAUAAGGAAUACAGACAUGAAAUACAAAAACAGAGUACGAAGUAGAAUAUCAAAUCUUAAAGAUGCAAAGAAUCCAAAUUUAAGGAAAAAUGUGCUGUGUGGGAAUAUUCCACUAUUUGCUAGAAUGACAGCAGAGGAGAUGGCUAGUGAUGAGCCAAAGAAAUGAGAAAAAACCUGACCAAAGAAACCAUCAGGGAACAUCAGAUGGCCAAGACUGGUGGGACCCAGACUGACUUGUUCACUUGAGGCAAAUGUAAAAAGAAGAACUGCACUUAUACACAGGUGCAAACUCAUAGUGCUGAUGAACCAAUGACAACAUUUGUUGUAUGUAAUGAAUGUGGAAAUUGGUGGAAGUUUUGUUGAGUUUGGAAGAAUUGACAAGGUAUCUGGACCAU
Molecule: RNA transcript, 866 nt
Organism: Mastomys coucha (southern multimammate mouse)
Lineage: Eukaryota; Metazoa; Chordata; Mammalia; Rodentia; Muridae
Gene name: transcription elongation factor A protein 1 pseudogene
Exons: 1
Source: RefSeq, a predicted model, not a curated record